AGGACGAACGCUGGCGGCGUGCCUAAUACAUGCAAGUCGAACGGUCUUUCUAUGGAAGCUUGCUUCCACUGAGAAGAUAGUGGCGAACGGGUGAGUAACACGUGGGUAACCUGCCCAUAAGAGGGGGGAUAACAUCCGGAAACGGGUGCUAAUACCGCAUAGUUUUCUUGAUCGCAUGAUCGGGAAAGGAAAGACGGCCUUUGUGCUGUCGCUUAUGGAUGGACCCGCGGCGUAUUAGUUAGUUGGUGAGGUAACGGCUCACCAAGACGAUGAUACGUAGCCGACCUGAGAGGGUGAUCGGCCACAUUGGGACUGAGACACGGCCCAAACUCCUACGGGAGGCAGCAGUAGGGAAUCUUCCGCAAUGGACGAAAGUCUGACGGAGCAACGCCGCGUGAGUGAAGAAGGUUUUUCCGGAUCGUAAAACUCUGUUGUCAGAGAAGAACAAGUUGGAGAGUAACUGCUCCAGCCUUGACGGUAUCUGACCAGAAAGCCACGGCUAACUACGUGCCAGCCGCAGC
This 521-nucleotide ribosomal RNA is filed under the name uncultured bacterium. RNAcentral describes it as "bacterial SSU rRNA". It matches the Rfam family "Bacterial small subunit ribosomal RNA", at positions 26 to 518 of the family's 1533-position model. The record is from RNAcentral.